This 253-nucleotide ribosomal RNA is filed under the name uncultured bacterium. RNAcentral's name for it is "partial 16S ribosomal RNA". It matches the Rfam family "Bacterial small subunit ribosomal RNA", at positions 524 to 776 of the family's 1533-position model. The record is from RNAcentral.
GACAGAGGGUGCAAACGUUGUUCGGAAUUACUGGGCGUAAAGCGCGUGUAGGCGGCUUGGCAAGUCGGGUGUGAAAGCCCUGGGCUCAACCUGGGAAUGGCAUUUGGGACUGCAAGGCUUGAGUUUGGCAGAGGAGACUGGAAUUCCUGGUGUAGCAGCGAAAUGCGUAGAUAUCAGGAGGAAUACCGAUGGCGAAGGCAGGUCUCUGGGCUAUAACUGACGCUCAUGCACGAAAGCGUGGGGAGCAAACAGG